UAUGGCAAAUGCCUAGAUGUUCUUAUAACUCCACUCAUGUCCCAGCCGGAGCCGACAUGGAUGUCGGCUCAGAUGCAAUACAUACAAGGAUGUAUGUUUUGCAUCGCCGGCGGUGGCUUAUAAUUAUCAUCUCGGAGUUAUUAGAACAUCUUAGCAUUGAACAUC
Molecule: regulatory RNA element, 165 nt
Organism: Firmicutes bacterium CAG:882
Lineage: Bacteria; Bacillati; Bacillota
Source: Rfam